Molecule: transfer RNA, 77 nt
Filed under: Candidatus Peribacteria bacterium RIFCSPHIGHO2_01_FULL_49_38
Lineage: Bacteria; Candidatus Peregrinibacteriota; Candidatus Peribacteria
Also listed under: 3 other names
Description: tRNA-Pro
Rfam family: tRNA
About the family: Transfer RNA (tRNA) molecules are approximately 80 nucleotides in length. Their secondary structure includes four short double-helical elements and three loops (D, anti-codon, and T loops).
Source: RNAcentral
CGGGGCAUAGCUCAGUUGGCUAGAGCGCCUGCUUUGGGAGCAGGAGGCCGCAGGUUCGAGUCCUGCUGCCCCGACCA